This 253-nucleotide ribosomal RNA is filed under the name uncultured bacterium. RNAcentral describes it as "partial 16S ribosomal RNA". It matches the Rfam family "Bacterial small subunit ribosomal RNA", at positions 524 to 776 of the family's 1533-position model. The record is from RNAcentral.
UACAGAGGUCUCGAGCGUUGUUCGGAUUCAUUGGGCGUAAAGGGUGCGUAGGUGGCGCUGUAAGUCGGGUGUGAAAUCCUGAGGCUUAACCUCGGAACUGCAUUCGAUACUGCGGCGCUUGAGGACUGGAGAGGAGACUGGAAUUCAUGGUGUAGCAGUGAAAUGCGUAGAGAUCAUGAGGAAGACCAGUGGCGAAGGCGGGUCUCUGGACAGUUACCGACGCUGAGGCACGAAGGCCAGGGGAGCAAACGGG